This is a long non-coding RNA of Octopus sinensis (East Asian common octopus), 152 nucleotides long. RefSeq lists it as uncharacterized. The record is from RefSeq and is a predicted model, not a curated record. NCBI's taxonomy places the organism in Eukaryota, Metazoa, Mollusca, Cephalopoda, Octopoda, Octopodidae. The transcript has 3 exons.
CUUCCAAGCCUUUGAUUUUUGGAGGGAAUUUCUUAGAUUUAAUAACAUAGACUAUGUUCUCUAUAGUGUCCUCUUCCAAGUUGUAAAAGAAAGCUUUCCAUCCCAUGCGUUUAAUAAGGUCUGUAAUUUUCUCCAAAAUAAAAAUGUAACGA